This 372-nucleotide ribosomal RNA is filed under the name uncultured organism. RNAcentral describes it as "bacterial SSU rRNA". It matches the Rfam family "Bacterial small subunit ribosomal RNA", at positions 526 to 896 of the family's 1533-position model. The record is from RNAcentral.
CGAAGGGUGCAAACGUUGCUCGGAAUCAUUGGGCGUAAAGCGCACGUAGGCGGCGAUCUAAGUCGGAUGUGAAGUCCCUCGGCUCAACCGAGGACGUGCAUCCGAAACUGGAUUGCUCGAGUAUGGAAGAGGGUCGCGGAAUUCUCGGUGUAGAGGUGAAAUUCGUAGAUAUCGGGAGGAACACCAGUGGCGAAGGCGGCGACCUGGGCCAAUACUGACGCUGAGGUGCGAAUGCGUGGGGAGCAAACAGGAUUAGAUACCCUGGUAGUCCACGCCGUAAACGAUGAGUGCUAGGUGCUAUGGGUAUUGACCCCCGUGGUGCCGUAGCUAACGCGUUAAGCACUCCGCCUGGGGAGUACGGCCGCAAGGCUA